Molecule: long non-coding RNA, 791 nt
Organism: Gasterosteus aculeatus aculeatus (three-spined stickleback)
Lineage: Eukaryota; Metazoa; Chordata; Actinopteri; Perciformes; Gasterosteidae
Source: Ensembl
UUAGUUACACUGUGAACAGGUUACUAUGUAACAUGUUAGUUACACGGUGAACCGGCUACUAUGUAACAUCUUAGUUACACAGUGAACCGGCUACUAUGUAACAUGUUAGUUACACGGUGAACCGGUUACUAUGUAACAUCUUAGUUACACGGUGAACAGGUUACUAUGUAACAUGUUAGUUACACGGUGAACCGGCUACUAUGUAACAUCUUAGUUACACAGUGAACCGGCUACUAUGUAACAUGUUAGUUACACGGUGAACCGGUUACUAUGUAACAUGUUAGUUACACAGUGAAACGGUUACUAUGUAACAUGUUAGUUACACGGUGAACCGGCUACUAUGUAACAUCUUAGUUACACAGUGAACCGGCUACUAUGUAACAUGUUAGUUACACGGUGAACCGGUUACUAUGUAACAUGUUAGUUACACGGUGAACAGGUUACUAUGUAACAUCUUAGUUACACAGUGAACAGGUUACUAUGUAACAUCUUAGUUACACAGUGAACAGGCUACUACUAUAGACUUCUCAGAGUGUAAUUAGUAAUAUUCCAGGUUGACUUAUAUUUGCCACAAACGCGUUGUGUGUUACUUUGUCUUUCACCUGCUGCUGCAGCUUCAGAAGCUGCUGCUGUUUCUCCUGUAAGACCUGCAGCUGCUGCUCCGCAGACACCAUGGCGUGGGACAGCGAUUGGAGCGCCACCUGGGCUGCAGAGCUCAGAGCUGUAGAAGCUUCACCAACUGUCCCUGCCGACAGGCCGCCCACCGCAGGUGUCACACCAAACGUACUCAC